GACCUUGUUGGAUACAAAAUUCUUAAGACUAAAUUGAGAUGUGGAAAUAUUGGAAAUUUGUUAAGGGUAAAAAUUGAAAUUUCUCAUGUGGAAAUACCAUAAAAGAUUAAGGACAAAAUUGGAAUUACUCAUGUGGAAAUACUAUAAAAGGUUGAGGACAAAAUUGGAAUUUCACAUGUGGAAAUACUAUAAAAGGUUGAGGACAAAAUUGGAAUUUCACAUGUGGAAAUACUAUAAAAGGUUAAGGGCAUAAUUGGAAUUUCAACUUGGAAAUAUUAGAAAAGGUGAGGGGCAAAUUGGUAAUUUCACUUAGAAGUCUUUAUGUCUUCCAACUCUUAGAACUUUCAAGACAAUUCAAGAAAGAAGAAAAAAAAAACAAAGGAAAAGAAAAUAAGGGGAAAAUCGAUCAAGGAAAAAAAUAGGGAGAAAAUUGAAAUCUUGCUCCAAAAAUUAUUUUCUCCUAGUAUUCCUACUAAUUCAAGGAUUCUCUACAAUAUGAUAAAGUUAUUUUGGAAAAUAGGAGGCUUGUUUGGUUGAUUUGAAGCUUUGGUAAAGUGAAGAAGUUGGAAGGAAAAGAUUUUGGAGGAAACGGGAAUUGAAUUUGGACAACCGUAAAACGUCAAAAAGGUACCGAAGUUCGAUUUGCUGAUCCACCUGUUUAGGAUAUUUGCUGCGUCGUUGACAGUGCUCCCUUGUUCGGAGCUUGUAUUUUGGUACUGACUUUAUCUCUGUAUAUUUGGAUAUGUUGGUCAGGGGUACGACGGGGCCUUGUCCCGUCAUAUGACUAUGCUAUCAUCUGUAGAGGUCUGUAGACAGAGUUAUGUUGUGGGUUUUGUAUAUAUGGUUUGGGUUUUGUGUGUUUUGUGA
Long non-coding RNA from Solanum dulcamara, 867 nucleotides. RefSeq lists it as uncharacterized. The transcript is spliced from 3 exons. Lineage: Eukaryota; Viridiplantae; Streptophyta; Magnoliopsida; Solanales; Solanaceae. The record is from RefSeq and is a predicted model, not a curated record.